CCGAGGCCUGGUUUUACUACGAGUCUGGCACUGAAGUCUGAAGCAGCCACAUUUGGGCGGUUUUCUACUCAAAUGAGAGAAUUCAUCAAAUGAAUUGGCCCAGACUUCUGCAGUGUCAAGUGAAGGAAGCUCCUCUCAUAAGAUUGCAAACUGUGAGUCUGAUGACACUGAGUGUGAGUGAUGGAAGCCCUUCAAGAAAGGAGCAGAAUGCUGAAGAUGACGCCAGAAUUGUGAGUCUGUUGACAUUGAGC
Sinocyclocheilus rhinocerous is the source of this 251-nucleotide long non-coding RNA. RefSeq lists it as uncharacterized. The transcript is spliced from 3 exons. The record is from RefSeq and is a predicted model, not a curated record. NCBI's taxonomy places the organism in Eukaryota, Metazoa, Chordata, Actinopteri, Cypriniformes, Cyprinidae.